UACGGAGGGGGCUAGCGUUGUUCGGAAUUACUGGGCGUAAAGCGCGCGUAGGCGGACCUGCAAGUCGGGGGUGAAAGCCCGAGGCUCAACCUCGGAACUGCCUUCGAUACUGCGGGUCUCGAGUCCUGGAGAGGUGAGUGGAAUUCCUAGUGUAGAGGUGAAAUUCGUAGAUAUUAGGAAGAACACCAGUGGCGAAGGCGGCUCACUGGCCCGUUACUGACGCUGAGGCGCGAAAGCGUGGGGAGCAUACAGG
Molecule: ribosomal RNA, 253 nt
Filed under: uncultured bacterium
Lineage: Bacteria
Description: partial 16S ribosomal RNA
Rfam family: Bacterial small subunit ribosomal RNA
Source: RNAcentral